GACAGAGGAUGCAAGCGUUAUCCGGAAUGAUUGGGAGUAAAGCGUCUGUAGGUGGCUUUUCAAGUCCGCCAUCAAAUCCCAGGGCUCAACCCUGGACAGGCGGUGGAAACUACCAAGUUGGAGUACGGUAGGGGCAGAGGGAAUUUUCGGUGGAGUGGUGAAAUGCAUUGAGAUCGGAAAGAACACCAACGGCGAAAGCACUCUGCUGGGCCGACACUGACACUGAGAGACGAAAGCUAGGGGAGCGAAUGGG
RNAcentral lists this ribosomal RNA (253 nucleotides) under uncultured bacterium. Its description in RNAcentral is "partial 16S ribosomal RNA". It matches the Rfam family "Bacterial small subunit ribosomal RNA", at positions 524 to 776 of the family's 1533-position model. The record is from RNAcentral.